Molecule: long non-coding RNA, 599 nt
Organism: Alosa alosa (allis shad)
Lineage: Eukaryota; Metazoa; Chordata; Actinopteri; Clupeiformes; Clupeidae
Exons: 5
Source: RefSeq, a predicted model, not a curated record
GCAUACCCAUCCCCCACCCCUGACUGACUUUUCAACGAACUCCUUCAACCGUCACUUUUCUGUCAUGCAUCUGACUGCAAGCUGUACAAACUCUGCCGUCAUCAUAUCCAAGGCAGUGAGUUGUGAGGACUGCUUCCCUGAGAACACUGAGUGCAUUCUGGAAUAUUCCAAAUGUGUGCCAAUUCCAUACAAAAGAAGUUUCAAUCCCGCAAGAGAGUUCACUCACCAGUGGGCUCCAUCAACAGACCAGGGCAAAGUCGGUCUGUCCUGCUACUACUACAUGCUACUUGACUAUGACUGGAAGCCAUGGCUGCUGCCCUCAACAUGCUAAACUGAAACCCUCACAAAUAAACUGAUAUCAAUAAUUAACAUUGAUGGUGAUGGUGGCAAGGGUGCCUUCAUAAGGUGCCAUCCAGCAAGUCCCAGCCUGGAGCCAGAGGCUGGCACUGCACGUUGGGGGAGGAUCUAUGUUAGGCAUCAGAAAGGUGGUUUAAGCAAGAAGGAAAGAGCUUCUGCAGACAGUGUUGCAAUUAGGUAUGAUACUUUUGGAAAUUGAUCUUAAUGCCUUAAUUAAAAAAAUUAGGAAAAAUCCAACCUUU